UACGGAGGGGGCUAGCGUUGUCCGAAGUUACUGGGCGUAAAGCGCGCGUAGGCGGGUUGGUAAGUCCGCUGUGAAAGCCCGGAGCUUAACUCCGGAGGGUCGGUGGAUACUGCCAGUCUUGAAGGUGCUAGGGGGAGAUGGAAUUACCGGUGUAGCGGUGAAAUACGUAGAUAUCGGUAGGAACACCAGUGGCGAAGGCGGUCUCCUGGGGCAUUCUUGACGCUGAGGCGCGAAAGCUGGGGGAGCAAACGGG
RNAcentral lists this ribosomal RNA (253 nucleotides) under uncultured bacterium. Its description in RNAcentral is "partial 16S ribosomal RNA". It matches the Rfam family "Bacterial small subunit ribosomal RNA", at positions 524 to 776 of the family's 1533-position model. The record is from RNAcentral.